Molecule: long non-coding RNA, 2372 nt
Organism: Salvelinus namaycush (lake trout)
Lineage: Eukaryota; Metazoa; Chordata; Actinopteri; Salmoniformes; Salmonidae
Exons: 2
Source: RefSeq, a predicted model, not a curated record
UACUGUCUCCUGUCUGCUGCUGCUCAGAUAAGAAGUCUCUACUGUCUCCUGUCUGCUGCUGCUCAGAUAAGAAGUCUCUACUGUCUCCUGUCUGCUGCUGCUCAGAUAAGAAGUCUCUACUGUCUCCAGUCUGCUGCUGCUCAGAUAAGAAGUCUCUACUGUCUCCUGUCUGCUGCUGCUCAGAUAAGAAGUCUCUACUGUCUCCUGUAUGCUGCUGUUCAGAUAAGAAGUAUCUACUGUCUCCUGUCUGCUGCUGUUCAGAAAAGGCUCGUGUCAUCAGCUCAUCUGCAUGAUGCACCAACCAGUAUGACAUCAUCAUCAACAACACACUAACCCGAGUGCCAAGACAACCUCUACCUUUGAAACUUCCUACUAGAACCACAACUAAACAACAAAUGCUGUUUCCUUUGACUGAAUUGCUAGGAGUUCUUCAUCAGGGGUUGUAUGUUUCAAGCAUCUCAGAAUAUGAGUGCUGGUCUACGAUCAGGAACUCCCUGUAGUUAUUAUAAUUGUCUUCAUUAUGACCUGAGAGGCAAAACUGAUCCUAGAUCAGCACUUCUACUCAGAGACAUUUUGGGAAUACAGGCCUUGAAUGCUAUUUUCCACCAUCACAAUGCUUAGAGAUGCUGCAUCUUAAUCAAAUAUGUUCUCCAAGAGAGGAGUGUCACAGUAGACACGUGUUCUGUUCUAUUCUUGCAGUAUUAAUAAUCUAUCUAUAUCUUCUAUAUAACACGUGAGCUUUUUUGAUUCCAAUAUAGACAUGGCCUAUCUUAAAAAGGUACUGUAGUGUGUAGGAUCAAUCUGAGUGUUGUGUAAGUGAUGGAUUAGGCUGUACUAGCUCUGGUCCAGGGUGUUAGUACGGCUACCUUCAGGUAGUCUGUGGUCCAGGGUGUUAGUACAGCUACCUUCAGGUAGUCUGUGGUCCAGGGUGUUAGUGUGGCUGCCUUCAGGUAGUCUCUGGUCCAGGGUGUUAGUACAGCUACCUUCAGGUAGUCUCUGGUUCAGGGUGUUAGUGCAGCUACCUUCAGGUAGUCUCUGGUCCAGGGUGUUAAUGUGGCUACCUUCAGGUAGUCUCCGGUCCAGGGUGUUAGUGCGGCUACCUUCAGGUAGUCUCUGGUCCAGGGUGUUAAUGUGGCUACCUUCAGGUAGUCUCUGGUCCAGGGUGUUAAUGUGGCUACCUUCAGGUAGUCUCUGGUCCAGGGUGUUAAUGUGGCUACCUUCAGGUAGUCUCCGUUCCAGGGUGUUAGUACGGCUACCUUCAGGUAGUCUGUGGUCCAGGGUGUUAGUACAGCUACCUUCAGGUAGUCUCUGGUCCAGGGUGUUAGUGUGGCUACCUUCAGGUAGUCUCUGGUCCAGGGUGUUAGUACAGCUACCUUCAGGUAGUCUCUGGUCCAGGGUGUUAGUGUGGCUACCUUCAGGUAGUCUCCGGUCCAGGGUGUUAGUGUGGCUACCUUCAGGUAGUCUCUGGUACAGGGUGUUAGUGUGGCCAGGUCACAUGUAAACUCCAUGGACCAGAGUGUUAGUGCUGCUGAAGUCUCAGCAGGGGGCAUGUAAACUCCAUGGACCAGAGUGUUAGCGCGGCUUGCUGAAGUCUCAGCAGGGGGCAUGUUAACUCCAUGGACCAGAGUGAAGGCUAUACCUACUUUCAAUGAUGACCUCUAUCACAAAAUGUGUCAUUGUUGUGAAGUUGGAAAAAGCGGUUUGUGAGUGUUAUCGUAUCUCUCAUACGGCCUAAUUCACUGGCUUUCAGUGAAGUGAGCAAUUACCUCUUUGCGUCCCAAAUGGUACCCUGUUCCCUAUAUAGUACCCUACUUCUGACCAGGACCCUAUGGGUCCAGGGGUGCUAUUUGGGACGCAGAUCGAGAGUGAAGUAGGUAGCUAGCCAUGUGUGACAAUAUGAUAAAUAACAAAGUGCUGUUAUAAUAUGUGCAAUACAGAUGUGGGAUCUUAGAUCACCCUGUUGCAGGAAACAUAAAACUUGUAAUGUAUUUGUAAUUUCCAUUUACGACUUGAUUUUCCAUUAUGAGCAAUGUAAUCAACCCUUACAAAAAUGUCCAUUAAUUAUAAUCCAGAUCUCCUGUUGCUACAGGAUUAUUUUCCUGCUGUAGCAACCUGGCUCAAAUUAAGAUCCUACAUCUAUAACCUCCUUUGAUAGAGAAACAUUGGUGUGUUUGGGGGACUGGUGGGAAGCACUUUGUGAAAUAAAUAGUUUUGUUCUUUUCAGGCCAAUUUAGGUGCUUUAGAUGUAUAAUUAAUGAAAUAUCAUCAUACCAAAAAUGUCUUUGUUCAUUGUAAUCUGUUUUCCAUCUUAGUUGAACCUGACAGUCAACUGUUGAGUUAAUAGUAUCUUUUAAUUAAAUAGAGUAGCAAUA